Molecule: ribosomal RNA, 253 nt
Filed under: uncultured bacterium
Lineage: Bacteria
Description: partial 16S ribosomal RNA
Rfam family: Bacterial small subunit ribosomal RNA
Source: RNAcentral
UACGUAGGGGGCUAGCGUUGUCCGGAAUCAUUGGGCGUAAAGCGCGUGUAGGCGGUCCGGUAAGUCCGCUGUGAAAGUCGGGGGCUCAACCCUCGAAUGCCGGUGGAUACUGUCGGGCUAGAGUGCGGAAGGGGCGAGUGGAAUUCCUGGUGUAGCGGUGAAAUGCGCAGAUAUCAGGAGGAACACCAAUUGCGAAGGCAGCUCGCUGGGACGUUACUGACGCUGAGACGCGAAAGCGUGGGGAGCAAACAGG